RNAcentral lists this ribosomal RNA (447 nucleotides) under uncultured bacterium. Its description in RNAcentral is "partial 16S ribosomal RNA". It matches the Rfam family "Bacterial small subunit ribosomal RNA", at positions 330 to 793 of the family's 1533-position model. The record is from RNAcentral.
CCCAGACUCCUACGGGAGGCAGCAGUGGGGGAUAUUGCACAAUGGGGGGAACCCUGAUGCAGCGACGCCGCGUGGGUGAAGGAGCGUUUCGGCGCGUAAAGCCCUCUCGGCAGGGAAGAAGGAGGACGGUACCUGACUAAGAAGCCCCGGCUAACUACGUGCCAGCAGCCGCGGUAAUACGUAGGGGGCGAGCGUUAUCCGGAUUCACUGGGCGUAAAGGGAGCGCAGGCGGCACGGCAAGUCCGGUGUGAAAGCCCGGGGCCCAACCCCGGGACUGCACUGGAAACUGCCGGGCUGGAGUGUCGGAGGGGCAGGCGGAAUUCCUAGUGUAGCGGUGAAAUGCGUAGAUAUUAGGAGGAACACCAGUGGCGAAGGCGGCCUGCUGGACUGCGACUGACGUUGAGGCCCGAAAGCGUGGGGAGCAAACAGGAUUAGAUACCCCAGUAA